ACCCAUUUAGGACGUUUUUUGGUUCAGGAGUGAACAAUAAGUCUGCCCAGGUUCUCCUGCUCUUCGUGAUUCCCGGCCACCUGAUCUUCCUCUACACAAUCCAUCUGAUGAAGAGCGGCCACACCUCUCUGACUGUAGUCUUUGUUGUUGUGUACCUGCUUGCUGCUGUGCUCCAGGUGACAGGGCCAUCAAGAGCUUCAGCAGGUAAAGGAACAGACAACCAGGUCUGGUCCCCAGGACCCACGAAAAGGCGGAAGAAGGCCAUUAGCUCUCCAGAGCUGUCCUCCGACCUUCACAUGCACAGUGGCACGCACCACUUCCCAUAAUGUGCGUGAACAUGCAUGUGCAUACACAAUAACAAAUUUUAUUAAAAAGUUCUCAUCUC
Molecule: long non-coding RNA, 385 nt
Filed under: Rattus norvegicus (Norway rat)
Lineage: Eukaryota; Metazoa; Chordata; Mammalia; Rodentia; Muridae
Description: long non-coding RNA NONRATT025682
Source: RNAcentral